Molecule: RNA transcript, 3237 nt
Organism: Zingiber officinale
Lineage: Eukaryota; Viridiplantae; Streptophyta; Magnoliopsida; Zingiberales; Zingiberaceae
Gene name: pyruvate kinase isozyme A, chloroplastic-like
Exons: 8
Source: RefSeq, a predicted model, not a curated record
GGUCAGCCUCUAUAGACCAGACCGUCCGAUCGUAUAUGGCGACGACACCGUCGGUCAGGUCGGACGGGGAAGCUUUUUCGGGCCCCACUUGGCGGACCACUUUCGUUCCCUCUGGCUCUGACUCUUAGAAAUCAACCAUCCUCUUCUCUGCUCUUCAAUCGAUCGAUCGAUCGAGCAAGCAAUCGCAAUGGCGGCACAAGCCCUCCACUUCCUCUCGCCUUCCGUCCCCUCUCCUUCUCUCCCCGCUCUAUCUUCCGGCAAGCCUUCGAUGCUCCCUUACGCCUCUGUCUUUCGCUCCCGCCCUCGCUCCUUCUCCCUCCGCGCCUCCUCUUCCCUCCGCGAUCUAGGCCUCACCCCCUCCGACGGAGGCGCCGCAUCCAUCGACGUAGACGCCGUAACCGAGGCCGAGCUUCGGGAGAACGGAUUCCGGAGCACGAGGCGGACCAAGCUGGUCUGCACCAUCGGCCCCGCCACCUGCUCCGCCGAGCAGAUCGAGGCGCUCGCUGUCGGAGGAAUGAACGUCGCCAGGGUGAACAUGUGCCACGGCACCCGCGAGUGGCACCGCCAGGUGAUCCGACAGGUCCGCCGCCUCAAUGAGGAGAAAGGGUUCGCCGUGGCUGUGAUGGUGGACACCGAGGGGAGUGAGAUCCACAUGGGGGAUCUCGAUGGUGACGCCUCUGUCAAGGCCGAGGAUGGUGAGAUUUGGACAUUUAGUGUAAGAGCUUUUGACGCAGCACUUCCAGAACGGACCAUUGCUGUAAAUUAUGAUGGCUUUGCUGAAGAUGUUAGUGUUGGCGAUGAACUUCUUGUGGACGGAGGAAUGGUUAGGUUUGAGGUGAUUGAAAAGAUAGGUCCAGAUGUAAAAUGCCAGUGCAAUGAUCCUGGGCUGUUGUUGCCACGUGCUAAUCUUACUUUCCGGAGGAAUGGAAGACUAGUCCAAGAACGUAAUGCAAUGCUUCCUACAAUUUCUUCUAAGGAUUGGCUUGAUAUUGACUCUGCAAUAUCUGAGGGUGUGGACUUCAUUGCAGUUUCCUUUGUCAAGUCUGCAGAUGUCAUAAAUCAUCUUAAGAGCUAUAUAGCUGCAAGAUGCCCUGACAAUGAAAUUGCUGUGAUCGCAAAGAUUGAGAGUUUUGAUUCCUUGAAAAAGCUAGAAGAGAUCAUCCAUGCAUCAGAUGGAACAAUGAUAGCCAGAGGAGACAUGGGUUCUCAAAUUCCUCUUGAAGAAGUCCCUUCAGCUCAGCAAAAAAUUGUUAAAUUGUGCAGACAGCUUAACAAACCUGUAAUUGUGGCUUCUCAGCUUCUGGAAUCUAUGAUUGAGUAUCCAACGCCAACUAGAGCGGAAGUUGCUGAUGUCACAGAGGCUGUUAAACAGAGGGCAGAUGCUCUGAUGCUCUCAGGUGAGUCAGCUAUGGGCCAAUAUCCAGAGAAAGCGUUGACUGUGCUUAGAAAUGUAAGCCUACGAAUUGAAAAAUGGUGGAGAGAAGAGAAGAUUCAUGAGGAAAUCGAUCUUCCAGAUAUUUCAUCUUCUUUCUGUGGUAAAGUUUCAGAGGAAAUAUGUAACUCGGCUGCUACAAUUGGCCAUACUUUCUCAUGCAAGGGUGUAGAGAUGGAUUUAGAUAAACUACAGGUUAUCCAUCAUUGGCCUCUAUCAAAUUCUGUGAAGGAGCUAUGUGGCUUUCUUGGCCUCACAGGUUAUUAUCGGCGAUUCAUCAAGAACUAUGGUCUCAUUGCCAAACCUUUAAUUGAUCUCACGAAGAAGCAUAACUUCAAAUGGCAUUAAGCAGCUACUGCAGCAUUUCAAACACUGAAACUAGCCCUUACAUCUGCUCUAGUUCUUUAUCUUCCUGAUUUUAAUGCAGCAUUUACUAUUGAAUGUGAUACAUCAUCAGAGGCCAUUCUUUCCCAACAUGGACAUCCUAUUUCUUAUUUCAGCAAAGGUUUAUCUUUUUCAAACAGACUCAAAUCUACUUAUGACCGUGAGUUAUUGGCAUUGGUAUUGGCAUUAGAAAAAUGAAAGCAUUACUUGUUGGGUCGACAUUUCUUUGUCACUUCUGAUCAUUGUAGUCUCAAGUUUUUGCUCGGCUAGCGUCUUACGACAAACGAACAACAACGAUUUCUCUUGAAAUUGUUGUCGUUUGAUUUCUCCAUCAUUUACAAAAAAAAGUGUAGAAAAUAUAGGAGCUGAUGCUUUAUCGCGCCUACCUCAACAUGCUGACUUCUUGUCAAUGGUCAUUCCUUUCCCUUUGGAUUUUCUGGAGCUGCAGCAGACAUAUUACAGGAUCACUUUACUACAAAAACAAGCUUGUCAUCCCUAAGAAGUCUUCACUACGGCAAAAAUUGUUGGUUGAAUCUCAUAACACUUGCACCGCUGGUCAUGGAGGCUAUCUCAAAGUUUUUACUGGCCACGCAUGAAGCAUGAUGUUAAAGCCUGAAUUCAAAAUUGUUUAAUUUUUCAACGGUCUAAAUAUCAAGCUUUAGCUCCCGUAGGUUUGCUACAACCACUAUCCAUACUUGACCGAAUUUGGGAGGAUAUUUCUUUACACUUCAUUAUUAAUUUGCCAAAGUCAGGAGGUUAUGAUACUAUUCUGGUUGUAGUUGAUAGAUUGAGCCAAUACGCCCAUUUUGUUUCACUAUCUCACCCCUUUACUACCAAAUCUAUUUCUCACCUAUUCAGCAAGGAAAUUGUUCGUCUACAUGGGUGAUCGAGGUUUAUUGUGUUUGAUAGAGAUGUGAUAUUCCUCAGUGCUUUUUGGCAAGAAUUGUUCAAGCUCAGUCACACUAAACUCAAUAUGAGUUCUGCUUACCAUCCGCAAAUUGACGAACAAACUGAAGUUGUGAACCGCUGCCUUGAAACUUAUCUACGUUGUUUUGCUGAGAUCCUCUGCAUCUGCAAUCUUAUAUUCAUGGUGAAACUAAUAUUGUUGAUCUUGAAGACUAGUUAAUAACACGGGAUGCUAUGCUACGCACAUUGAAGGACAAUCUUGUCAAAGCUCAGUCUCGUAUGAGGUCACACACAAAUUCCAAAUGACGUGAUCUCCAAUUUCAAGUUGGUGAUGUUGUUUUUUUACAUCUCCAACCUUAUAGAUAACGUUCCUUAGCCAAGCGCAGCAAACAACUUGGGUGUCGAUGCACUCUUCAUCUUUACGAGGACUGGCGAGAUGGCCUCACUUCUUUCACGUUGUCGCCCUGAUUGUCCAGUGUUUGCAUUUACUCCUUCAGCAUCAGUUAGAAGACGAU